This 433-nucleotide ribosomal RNA is filed under the name uncultured bacterium. RNAcentral's name for it is "partial 16S ribosomal RNA". It matches the Rfam family "Bacterial small subunit ribosomal RNA", at positions 29 to 507 of the family's 1533-position model. The record is from RNAcentral.
AACGAACGCUGGCGGCAUGCCUAACACAUGCAAGUCGAACGAGACCUUCGGGUCCUGUCGCGCACGGGUGCGUAACGCGUGGGAACCUGCCCUUAGGUUCGGAAUAACUCCCCGAAUGGGGUGCUAAUACCGGAUAAUGUCUUCUGACCAAUCAUUUAUCGCCCUUGGAUGGGCCGGCGUUGGAUUAGCUAGUUGUUAGGGUAAAAGCCUACCAAGGCGCCGAUCCACAGCUGGGCUGAGAGGAUGAUCAGCCACACUGAGACUGGGACACGGCCCAGACUCUUACGGGAGGCAGGAGUGCGGAAUAUUGGACAGUGGCCGGAAGCAUGAUGCAGCAAUGCCGCGUGAGUGAUGAAGGCCUUGGAGUAGUAAAGCUCUUUUACCCGGGAUGAUAUUGACAGUACCGAGAGAAAAAGCUCCGGCUAACUCCGUG